RNAcentral lists this long non-coding RNA (2106 nucleotides) under Lytechinus variegatus (green sea urchin). RNAcentral's name for it is "uncharacterized LOC121416242". Lineage: Eukaryota; Metazoa; Echinodermata; Echinoidea; Temnopleuroida; Toxopneustidae. The record is from RNAcentral.
GUGAAGAUUCCCAUGGCAUUUUUGGAACAAUGAUGUUCUCUGGUGGAAUGCUACUAAGAUGUUCUUUGCAGAGAUUAUGCUCUUUUAUAUUUGAUACUGAAUUUAUAGUUUUCUCAUGAAAAGAUAUGGAAAGUUACAUUUAGUUUCUUCUGGUACAUCCACUUAUCUUGAGUUAAAACAGAUGGUUAACGAGUCUUCAUCAAUGCGUAAUUUUGUAGCAGGUAUUAGAGAGGAAUUUGAUAAAAGCUUUUGAAGAUAUUACAUGUACAACUACUACAUGUAUGCUAUGUAAAAUUGAAGGUUUUAUGCUUUGCUAAAUGAUUUAAGUGUUUCAUGUUAUAAUGUUAUUCAAAAUUCAUCCCAACUAUUAUUGGAGGUGUUCCAUCUUAUUAAUUAUUGAUAUUGAAGGUGUUACAUGUUAUUAAUUAUUGAUAUUGAAUGUGUUACAUGUAACUCUUUAUUAACUGAUAUUGAAUGUGUUACAUGUAACACUGCUGAUUUUGAAGAUGUUAGUACAUGUAACACUAUGCUAACUGAUAUUGAAGCAUGUAACAAUAUGGCAAUAUUGAAGGUGUUACAUGUAACACUAUGCUAACUGAUAUUGAAGGUGUUAUAUGUAAGACUAAUGCUAACUGAUAUUGAAGGUAAUACAUGUGACACUAUGGUAACUAAUAUUGAAGAUGUUUCAUGUGACACUAUGCUAACUGAUAUUGAAGGUGUUACAUGUAACACUGCUAACUGAUACAUGUAUAUUGAAGGUGUUACAUGUCACACUAAGCCAGCUGAUUUUGAAGGUGUUUCACAUUACAUUAUCCUAACUUCGUAUUAAAGUGAUAUUGAUUCUGUUUCACAUAGCAGUGUGCAUAAAUUCAUGUAGGCCUACAGUACAUGUAUGCAACCAACCAAUAUUUUUAGAUGUAAUACACGUGUGACUAUGUUACUGUGAAUGAAAUAACAUAGUGCGAACUGAUAUUAAAUGUGUUUUAUUGGUGUUACAUGUUACUCUAUGUGCUGAUAUUGAAGGUAUCGCACCAUGAAGUAGGAAAAGGUAGUCAUUUUAAUAAAGAAAAUGUUCUCAUUCAUCCAGUGACUACAUUAUAACUGCUAAAGUACAUGUUCAUGUGCAUACUUUAAUCUGUUAUCAUGGAGAUCCAUUUUUCAAAGGAAAUUAUUUCUAUCAUCUUGAGCAUUUAAGAAGUUAUAUUUGAAAGAGUUGUUCAAUAUUUUUCAUUGUCUCACAAUUAUUUCAAGCAUGUGCCAAAGUCAUGUAAAUAAGAUAAUUUAUACAGUGUCAUUGUACUUUUCAUUAUACUGCUUUGUAGUAAUCAUUUAUUAUCACGGGGGAAUCAUAUGAUGCAAAUAUCAUCGGUUUCAAUCACUCUUGUGCAUUCAUUGAUACAGUCGUUGGUAGUAGGAUUUCAAGAAGUUGAUGGAUAAUUUUAAGGUGUUUUUUUUUCUAAAGCAUGAAAUAUAUGUACAUUUUAUAAAUGCAUUUUAAAUACCCAGAACAUUUUAGAUUGUACAGUACUUACUAUCGAAUCCAUUUAUGAAUGCAGUCUUUGCCGUCACAAAUGUGAUUGAUUUUACGGUAACAACUAUUAUUAUAAUUUCUUGCCAUGGCUGCCUUACUUUGCUAGUGAGCUUUAAAAUGAAAAAGUACUAUUGAGCUGAAACUAAAAAUGUUACUCAACAUGAUUGUUCAAAUUUUGCGGUGUGUGUAUGACUAAGCCCACAUCAAGUUGCAUUUCCAUUGGUGUACAUGUAUCAUGUAUAUUUUAGAUUUAGACAAAGUUAUAGUCGUAGUUAUAGUAGUAUAUAAUAAUAAUGAUGAUGAUGUACUGCUUAUACGGAGCUUUCCCAUGAGGCCCACAGCGAAACAGUUAAAAUGGAACCUGUUAAAAAUUAUCUAAUGCUAAAACUAAAAUACUGCAAACUAUGAAAGAGAUGGAGAUUUUAAGGCAUUUUUUGAUAAUUUCUAUUGAUGGAGACUUACUUAUUAUAAGAGCCAAACCAUUCAGUAUUUUUAGGCUGGCACAGUAAACAACAGUUCUGUCACUGGCUAACAAAUGAUUUUCCCUUCUGUUGCAAACACUUCAAUUAGUACUA